RNA transcript from Tachysurus fulvidraco (yellow catfish), 2649 nucleotides. It is a transcript of the gene named myelin-associated glycoprotein-like, with no coding region annotated. The transcript has 10 exons. The record is from RefSeq and is a predicted model, not a curated record. NCBI's taxonomy places the organism in Eukaryota, Metazoa, Chordata, Actinopteri, Siluriformes, Bagridae.
CUCCUAUACCCCAAAAGCAGUGAAUAAAUUUAAGAGCAGUGUCAGUUGGUCACUCAAAAGAUACAGAAUAGUUUUUCUACGUCAGACAACCAAAAUUUCAAGUUGCAUCAUGGAUCUGCAGCCAAAAAUACUGUUCGGCUGGAUUUGUAUUCAAGUGAUCUUUGCCUCUGUUUUUUCGGAUGUGUGGAAAGCAGAAGUUGUCCCUACAUUGGAAGCAGUAGUCUCAUCUUGUGUUGUGUUGCCCUGCACGUUUAAUUACCCUGCCGCUCAGUAUCCUGCUUCUCGGGUCAAAGCAAUCUGGCACAAAAAGGGAGACAGAAAUUAUCGUAUCUAUGAUGGGGAUGGCUAUAAUAUUAAAGACAGCUUCAAGGAUCGCACAAAGCUCGUUGGCCAUUUGGGUGAAAAAAACUGCACGUUGGAAAUAGAUGAUGUUAAAGACACUGACAACGGUCCAUUCUGUUUCAGAGCUGAAAUCCAAGGUUUUGAUAAAUUCUCUUUUGAGGAGGCAUGUGUGCACACCAUUAUGAAAGCUAAACCUGAAGAAAUAUCUUUGGAUUAUGAAGAAUCUGUCACAGAGGGAUCAAGUGCCAUCUUUAAGUGUUCUAUGAGACACACCUGUCCCACACACCCCCCACAAAUUAAAUGGAGUCGCUCAGAUGUUAAAGAACGUGUGUCCCAUAAGAGCAAUGGCCAUGGAGUUUGGGAGGUGGAAUCCAUCAUGUCCUUCACGGCCACACAGGAGGACGAUCACACGGUCAUCACUUGCACUGUCACUUCCCACGGCGACAUAGUAUCUACAACUUCUCGCAAAAUGUUCAUAAAACGUGAAAAAAAUUACCUGCACAUCAUUAUUCCUGUGGUUGCUGUGUUUGGAACUAUCAUUCUAUUUGGAACAGCAUGUUUCUUUGUGACCAGGAGAUACAAGAAACAGAUUCAAGACCUCCAAUCUAGAAAUCCAAAUGGGGUAUGGAGUCGUCUCUCCAGAAUGUCUCACAGGGUCAGGUCAGUGGGAAGAAUGAGAGACAGAGCCUGAUUCCCUAAGUAGUCUAAGCAGUAAAAGCAUUUAAUCUAUAAAAGUAGAUUCAUCUGUUGACUGUUUUUAUAUAUGCACUUCCAGCAAAAAAAUAUACACACACAUUAUUAUUAGUAAGGUUUUCUUGCACCAUGGCAGUCUUCAGUGACAGAUUAUCUCUUAUUCUUCUUAAUGUUAUCCCAUGAAUUUGGUUUGAAUCAUAAUCAUUUACUCUGAAGAAAGUAUAAUGUUUUUAUUUCCUUAUUUCCUUAUUAUGGAACAAGUGCUUGUCUCAUAUCUCAUCGUGUAUAGAAUUUAGGGAUUUGUUUUAACAAAAUGAUAAGGACAUCCUACAUGUUGGCACCUUUGAAUAAAGUUUAUAAAAUGAACAAACAUUCAUUAUUUUACUAAUAUAUUGGUCAUACAGUUUAGUGCAUAACAAUAUGAAUGUUUGUGCUACAAUCAUAUUACUCCGCUUUACUGUUAAUUUCUUAAAUCUGCUUGACUAAUAAAUGUUUAUUAAAAUUAUGUUUCACCAUUUGAAUAUACUCAAGUGUUAGAAAUAGAAAAUAUUUGAAAUAGAUGACAUUAUGUUAAUAUGGUGUUAUAUGAUGUGCAUGUAUAAUAUAAAAUGUAUUACUUACCUAAAAGUUUAGGAAGGUGGUUUUCUUUUUAAAACAAUUUGCACCAUUAUUUCUUGAAAACAUCAUUCAAUCUUUGCAGAUUUUCUAGUUUAUGUGUGAUUUGUGUUUCCAAGUGAAUUUAUCAGAAGUAAACUAUCCUGUAUAUAUGCAACAUUUACAUCUAUUAGCUAGGAUUUCACUUUCUGCCUAACCAAAUAAUGUUAUGUUUAUUAUUGUAUUUAUGGAAUUAAUGCUAGUGUAACCUGUCAGUACUACAGCAUAUCUUAGCUCUAUAUAGCCAGUUAAUGUUAGUAUAUUAGAGAAAUGUUCCUCAGCAUGCUUUUUCAAAGUUCAUGCUUCUAGGGAGAUAAAAGUUUCCUGUUUUUAGACAAAUCAUUACUACAUCCAUUUGUCAAGAACAAUGCAUGAAAAAGUGAAGUUAAUUAUUUGUCUUUUUAUAGUAUUCUUAGAACUUUAAGAAAGAUCAGAGACAUGUAGCUCUUUUUAAGAGACUUUUUCUGUUCCUUUUUUCUGUUCCUCCUUUAUGACAGGAAAAAGCAGACAUAGCUCUUAGCUAAAAAUGCACAAUGCCUUGGUGGUUCUUGAUUUAUUUGCAUUCAAUAUAUAUUUAACAUUUUACCAGUAAGGUUUGUGAUAAAAGUGAUAGCAUUAUCUAAGUUAUCAAAAUCUGGGCUUUUUAACCACAGUGACUUUAAUCAGUUUAAUAUGAAAGUCUCACAUUAUAUACUGUGGAUAGCUGUUUUUUAAAUAUGAGUGGAGCUUCUCUGAUGAUGUCAAUGUACAAUUAUGAUGCCUACUCCUGAAAACCAAAACCAAUAAAUCUCUGCAAUUGUAGUUUGUUGAAUUAAACAUAAAAAGCUGAACCAAAAACAACAGGAACUAUAGAGGAAGGCAGGCACCUGAAAGGGAUUUUGGUACUAAGCCAAACAACUGUGGAGGUGCCCUGCCAGGAAAAGCAGAAUUCUCAAAACCUCGCUGUCCUUCUCCGAAGAG